RNAcentral lists this non-coding RNA (23 nucleotides) under Arabidopsis thaliana (thale cress). Lineage: Eukaryota; Viridiplantae; Streptophyta; Magnoliopsida; Brassicales; Brassicaceae. The record is from RNAcentral.
CCGGAGGACCGAGUGCCGCUCAC